UUCAAGAUUAAGCCAUGCAUGUCUAAGUAUAAGCAAUCUAUACUGUGAAACUGCGAAUGGCUCAUUAAAUCAGUUAUCGUUUAUUUGAUAGUACCUUACUACUUGGAUAACCGUGGUAAUUCUAGAGCUAAUACAUGCUAAAAACCGCGACUUCGGAAGCGGUGUAUUUAUUAGAUAAAAAACCAAUGCCCUUCGGGGCUCCUUGGUGAUUCAUGAUAACUUAACGAAUCGCAUGGCCUUGCGCCGGCGAUGGUUCAUUCAAAUUUCUGCCCUAUCAACUUUCGAUGGUAGGAUAGUGGCCUACCAUGGUAUCAACGGGUAACGGGGAAUUAGGGUUCUAUUCCGGAGAGGGAGCCUGAGAAACGGCUACCACAUCCAAGGAAGGCAGCAGGCGCGCAAAUUACCCAAUCCCGACACGGGGAGGUAGUGACAAUAAAUACUGAUACAGGGCUCUUUUGGGUCUUGUAAUUGGAAUGAGUACAAUUUAAAUACCUUAACGAGGAACAAUUGGAGGGCAAGUCUGGUGCCAGCAGCCGCGGUAAUUCCAGCUCCAAUAGCGUAUAUUAAAGUUGUUGCAGUUAAAAAGCUCGUAGUUGAACCUUGGGCCUGGCUGGCCGGUCCGCCUCACCGCGUGUACUGGUCCGGCCGGGCCUUUCCUUCUGGGGAUCCGCAUGCCCUUCACUGGGUGUGUCGGGGAACCAGGACUUUUACUUUGAAAAAAUUAGAGUGUUCAAAGCAGGCCUUUGCUCGAAUACAUUAGCAUGGAAUAAUAGAAUAGGACGUGCGGUCCUAUUUUGUUGGUUUCUAGGACCGCCGUAAUGAUUAAUAGGGAUAGUCGGGGGCAUCAGUAUUCAAUUGUCAGAGGUGAAAUUCUUGGAUUUAUUGAAGACUAACUACUGCGAAAGCAUUUGCCAAGGAUGUUUUCAUUAAUCAGUGAACGAAAGUUAGGGGAUCGAAGACGAUCAGAUACCGUCGUAGUCUUAACCGUAAACUAUGCCGACUAGGGAUCGGGCGAUGUUAUUCUUUUGACUCGCUCGGCACCUUACGAGAAAUCAAAGUCUUUGGGUCUG
This 1070-nucleotide ribosomal RNA is filed under the name Macrophomina phaseolina. RNAcentral's name for it is "SSU rRNA". It matches the Rfam family "Eukaryotic small subunit ribosomal RNA", at positions 37 to 1116 of the family's 1831-position model. Lineage: Eukaryota; Fungi; Ascomycota; Dothideomycetes; Botryosphaeriales; Botryosphaeriaceae. The record is from RNAcentral.